RNAcentral lists this ribosomal RNA (479 nucleotides) under uncultured bacterium. RNAcentral describes it as "partial 16S ribosomal RNA". It matches the Rfam family "Bacterial small subunit ribosomal RNA", at positions 28 to 507 of the family's 1533-position model. The record is from RNAcentral.
GAUGAACGCUAGCGGGAGGCCUAACACAUGCAAGCCGAGCGGUAGAGUUUCUUCGGAAACUUGAGAGCGGCGCACGGGUGCGUAACACGUGUGCAACCUACCUUUAUCUGGGGGAUAGCCUUUCGAAAGGAAGAUUAAUACCCCAUAAUAUAAUGAUUGGCAUCAAUUAUUAUUGAAAACUCCGGUGGAUAGAGAUGGGCACGCGCAAGAUUAGAUAGUUGGUGAGGUAACGGCUCACCAAGUCAAUGAUCUCUAGGGGUCCUGAGAGGGAGAUCCCCCACACUGGUACUGAGACACGGACCAGACUCCUACGGGAGGCAGCAGUGAGGAAUAUUGGACAAUGGGUGAGAGCCUGAUCCAGCCAUCCCGCGUGAAGGAUGACGGUCCUAUGGAUUGUAAACUUCUUUUGUACAGGGAUAAACCUACCCUCGUGAGGGUAGCUGAAGGUACUGUACGAAUAAGCACCGGCUAACUCCGUG